This is a long non-coding RNA of Prinia subflava (tawny-flanked prinia), 737 nucleotides long. RefSeq lists it as uncharacterized. The transcript has 3 exons. NCBI's taxonomy places the organism in Eukaryota, Metazoa, Chordata, Aves, Passeriformes, Cisticolidae. The record is from RefSeq and is a predicted model, not a curated record.
GGCAGGCCCAACCAAGCACUGCUGCACAGCCUUUCUCGUGUGACAAGUUUAUUGGAUAAAUGUGUUACAGCCUGUCUUGGAGGCUCUACUUGGACAAAGCGAAGAGAAGCAUGUUAGAGCUGAGGUGACUGAAACACCGCCCAGAACCAUGACUUGGCCUACAUAACCUCGUGUCAGAGCCUGCUCGGAUCUGCAGUGUGAGCUGCCGUGGGGCUUGGUCUGAGGGCACUCUGUCCUGUCUCAGCAUGGAGGCUGCAGUGUUUAUUCCUGACGUUGCCAAUAGCACCUCAUUUUCUCCUAGAGGGGUCUUCAGAGGAAGCCAGCAAAAGGUGGUCCUGGAGUUGUAACACCAGCCCUGCACCAAAUGUCUGCACUAAAGAAUCAUUUCACAGAUACUGUUUUUCAGAACUGUCUACAGAUAAAAAAUGUGGGCUUAAAAUGAAUCCUUACAGGAUAUCCACUAAGUGGAUUCAUGGCUGAUCACUCACAUUUACUGCUGUCUCCUGAGGGGAUGCUGCUUAACAAGCUCACCGGAUGGCAUGGCUAAUUUGUAAGUCAGUGCUUCAGCUUUGUCACUUACAACAUGCAGCAUCUUUUUAUGCAGCAAGAACAUCUUUAAUCUACAUACUCAACAUCAUCAAGCUGUUCAGGUGUGACCAUACUAUAAAACCUACAUGAUUCUAGUACAGCUCUGUGUAAACAUUAUUUAUUUAUUUGCUCUAUCAGCCUACGUCAGC